GGCCAGGCUGUCUCCACCCGAGACUCAGUGAAAUUGAACUCGCUGUGAAGAUGCAGUGUACCCGCGGCAAGACGGAAAGACCCCGUGAACCUUUACUAUAGCUUGACACUGAACAUUGAGCCUUGAUGUGUAGGAUAGGUGGGAGGCUUUGAAGCGUGGACGCCAGUCUGCGUGGAGCCAACCUUGAAAUACCACCCUUUAAUGUUUGAUGUUCUAACGUUGGCCCCUUACCGGGGUUGCGGACAGUGUCUGGUGGGUAGUUUGACUGGGGCGGUCUCCUCCCAAAGCGUAACGGAGGAGCACGAAGGUUAGCUAAUCCUGGUCGGACAUCAGGAGGUUAGUGCAAUGGCAUAAGCUAGCUUGACUGCGAGCGUGACGGCGCGAGCAGGUGCGAAAGCAGGUCAUAGUGAUCCGGUGGUUCUGAAUGGAAGGGCCAUCGCUCAACGGAUAAA
Molecule: ribosomal RNA, 452 nt
Filed under: Klebsiella pneumoniae
Lineage: Bacteria; Pseudomonadati; Pseudomonadota; Gammaproteobacteria; Enterobacterales; Enterobacteriaceae
Description: bacterial LSU rRNA
Rfam family: Bacterial large subunit ribosomal RNA
Source: RNAcentral